GUAUUUGAGUGAUUACAUCAGUUUAGCAUUUUAUUUAUAAAAUGGUCGAUUAUAAAACAUGUCGAUAAUACUCGACGGUCCUCUAUUUAGUUUAUCUUUGUGGAGUGUGUUAAAGAAUUUAUGUUGGUCUUAAUAGACAUAGCUAGACAAAUAUUGUACCUUACCAUUAAUAAGUUUUGUUUUGAAUGUGUUGUGUUAAGGCAUGCGAUAGUGCAACAUGCACCAAAAGGAUCAAGAAAUUGCUGACUGUAAAAGGAAGAUUGAGCAUUGUGAAAGAGAGGCUAGAUCUCUGCUGGAGAAAGAAGCACGCGAUUUUGAAGACAUUACACUCCAUUGAACAGGAAACCAAUUGGAAUGUUGCAAAAAUUUUCGCUGGAUGUAUAGGGAUCGUUGUAGGCACUGUUCUGAGCCAAGUUUCAUAUGGCGCCAGUUUUGUAUUAACACUUGCUGGUUGGACAUAUGCUGGGACGAAUCUGAGCAGCGCUGUUAAAUGUAUGCGAGCAGCGAAAGUCGCGAGAAAUAAUGCCGACGAGAAGCGGGCCGAAGCUGCGAAGCUUCAUUCAAGGCUGACGAAGCUUUUAAAUUGAAUAAUAUGUAAGAACAGAUUUCGAUGUCGACGUUAAAACGUUGCGAAGAAUACUGAAAACUCUAUACUUAAGAGAUGUUCUCCAAAAUACUUCCUAAAUUUCAUUUGUUUACUGUUAGUCAUAUUCUUGUGUUAUUAUUUAGAUCUAGUUAUAAUUUUAUGGUGGCAAGUAAUAUGUUUAAUGACUAAUUACGAAUCAGAGUCUGAAAGUAUUGACCGUUUUCGUUUGCUUGUCCAUUAUUCCAUUCAUGUUAUAAUUUAGAAUUACUCUCAUAAUAUUUAAAUUGUGUGGCCUAAUUGAUUAAUAACUUCUGUUUGUUUGUAGUGAUUUGCAUUGAUAAAAUUAUGAUUUGAACAAUCAAUGCAUACUUCCUGUUGUUUGUUUAUAAAAUGAGUUAACAAACAGACGAACAAAUACUAAUCAUUUAAGAAAUAACGCAAUGAAAUAAUCAAUUGAUUUGUUUGUUUAUUUAGAAAGUAUACGUUUUAAGAUGCUUGAUGGUAAGGUGAAUAUAAAUUAGGCCAAAACGUUAUUUGCAAUCUCAGAAUCGACAAAUUGUUGAAUAGUAUAAUACUAACUCAAAUACUAUCCGACCUCAGACAAAAUAAAAUGGACUUGAACUGUUCGCUGUAUGAUUCGAUAAUAGUAAUUUUUCGCCGUUUAUACUAGAUUUAAUAAAAGGCUUAUGAUUUGGAA
This is a long non-coding RNA of Dreissena polymorpha, 1283 nucleotides long. RefSeq lists it as uncharacterized. The record is from RefSeq and is a predicted model, not a curated record. NCBI's taxonomy places the organism in Eukaryota, Metazoa, Mollusca, Bivalvia, Myida, Dreissenidae. The transcript is spliced from 3 exons.